CCAACGCCCUUCGGGGCUCCUUGGUGAAUCAUAAUAACUUAACGAAUCGCAUGGCCUUGCGCCGGCGAUGGUUCAUUCAAAUUUCUGCCCUAUCAACUUUCGAUGGUAGGAUAGUGGCCUACCAUGGUGGCAACGGGUAACGGGGAAUUAGGGUUCGAUUCCGGAGAGGGAGCCUGAGAAACGGCUACCACAUCCAAGGAAGGCAGCAGGCGCGCAAAUUACCCAAUCCCGAUACGGGGAGGUAGUGACAAUAAAUACUGAUACGGGGCUCUUUUGGGUCUCGUAAUUGGAAUGAGAACAAUUUAAAUCCCUUAACGAGGAACAAUUGGAGGGCAAGUCUGGUGCCAGCAGCCGCGGUAAUUCCAGCUCCAAUAGCGUAUAUUAAAGUUGUUGCAGUUAAAAAGCUCGUAGUUGAACCUUGGGUCUGGCUGGCCGGUCCGCCUCACCGCGAGUACUGGUCCGGCUGGACCUUUCCUUCUGGGGAACCUCAUGGCCUUCACUGGCUGUGGGGGGAACCAGGACUUUUACUGUGAAAAAAUUAGAGUGUUCAAAGCAGGCCUUUGCUCGAAUACAUUAGCAUGGAAUAAUAGAAUAGGACGUGUGGUUCUAUUUUGUUGGUUUCUAGGACCGCCGUAAUGAUUAAUAGGGAUAGU
RNAcentral lists this ribosomal RNA (653 nucleotides) under Penicillium tricolor. Its description in RNAcentral is "SSU rRNA". It matches the Rfam family "Eukaryotic small subunit ribosomal RNA", at positions 222 to 882 of the family's 1831-position model. The record is from RNAcentral. Lineage: Eukaryota; Fungi; Ascomycota; Eurotiomycetes; Eurotiales; Aspergillaceae.